GGGGGCGGAUGGGGCCUGGUGGCUCCUGCGGUCUUCAAAACCGUCCGAGCGGCGUUAACCCGUCGCUGGUGGGUUCGAUUCCUACACGCUCCCGCCA
This 97-nucleotide transfer RNA is filed under the name Anaeroselena agilis. RNAcentral describes it as "tRNA-Sec". It matches the Rfam family "Selenocysteine transfer RNA". The record is from RNAcentral. Lineage: Bacteria; Bacillati; Bacillota; Negativicutes; Acetonemataceae.